This is a long non-coding RNA of Pipistrellus kuhlii (Kuhl's pipistrelle), 659 nucleotides long. RefSeq lists it as uncharacterized. The record is from RefSeq and is a predicted model, not a curated record. The transcript has 2 exons. Lineage: Eukaryota; Metazoa; Chordata; Mammalia; Chiroptera; Vespertilionidae.
AUGAAUGAUGAGAGAGAAUCACUGAUUGGCUGCCUCCUUCAUGCCCCCCAUUGGGGAUUGAGCUGCAACCUGAGCAGGUGCUUUAACUAGGAACCAAACCAUGACUUCCUAAUUCAUAGGUUAACUCUCAAUCACCGAGCCACAUGGGUAGCUAUUUUUUGUUUAAAAAGUCAAAUCAGACAUUCAUACACUGUUAGGAAAAUAGCUGUCCACAUUUGCCCUAUAAGUUUAUGAGUUCUUUGAGGUUAGGCUAGGUCUUUCCUUAACUUCUCCCCUUUUAAAUAUAUCUUAUGCAUAUAGAACCUAGGUAUUCAAUAAAUGUUUUAUUCAAUUGAGAUUGAAUUUAUUUGAGAAUUAUAACUGAUUUUUCAAGAUUGGGUAUUUUCAUCACUAUCAACUUUGUAGAACCUUUUCUCAUAUUGCAUGGCAAGAAGAAACUUAUUUCUUAGCCUUUAAGUUUAAGAUAGCUAAAGUCAUUCAUUUAGGAAAUUAUUUUGCUAGAUACCGAGGUUCUCAACCUUUCUGGUGUCUAGACACCUUAAGAAACUAUUAAAUAUUCUCAAAGAGUUUAUUGAUUUUACUAUACUAGAAAUUAGAACUAAAACUAAAAACAAUUCAUUAGAAAUAACAGUAAAUCCUUUAAUUAAAUAUUUUUGUGG